CAAAGGGUGCGCGGUGAAUGACUAGGGACAAGUUGCCGAUGAAGGACGUGUAAGCGACGAAACGUCACGGGAAGCUGCACAGAAGCGAUGAUCCGUGAAUAUCCGAAUGGGGAAACCCGGCGGGGCAAUACCCCGUCGCCUCUACCUGAACACAUAGGGUAGUGUGCGGGCACCAGGUGAACUGAAACAUCUAAGUAACCUGAGGAAAAGAACUCGAAGAGACUCCGUAAGUAGCGGCGAGCGAAAGCGGAAGAGCCUAAACCAGUGGGCUUGCCUACUGGGGUCGUGGGGCAUUCACAAACUUCCUCCAAUCAAGGCCUUGAGCUUUGAUUGGUGGAGUUUGAAAAGAAGAUCGUGUUUUGGUUAGGAGAACAGGCCUGGAAGGGUCGGCCGUAGAGGGUGACAGCCCCGUAUUCCAAAAACCAAACCGAAUUCAGAAUGUACCCGAGUAACACGGAGCACGAGGAAUUCCGUGUGAAUCUGUCCGGACCACCGGAUAAGGCUAAGUACAACUUGUCACCGAUAGUGAAUCCAGUACCGUGAGGGAAAGUUGAAAAGUACGCCGGGAGGCGAGUGAAAUAGAUCCUGAAACCGCGAUACCUACAAGCAGUCAAAGCACCAGGUCCGGAGCAAUCCGGUCAAGUGUGAUGGCGUGCCUUUUGCAGAAUGAGUCUGCGAGUUAAUAGUGCUGGCAAGGUUAAGGCUUUAAGAGCCGGAGCCGGAGGGAAACCGAGUCCGAAUAGGGCGUCAAGUCAGUAUUAUUAGACCCGAAACUGCGUGAUCUAGCCAUGGCCAGGCUGAAGUGUUGGUAACACAACAUGGAGGGCCGAACUCAUUGACGUUGAAAAGUCUCGGGAUGAGCUGUGGUUAGUCCGGUGAAAUGCCAAUCGAACGCAGAGAUAGCUGGUUCUCCCCGAAAUGCAUUGAGGUGCAGCGUUACGUGUUUUCAUACGGGGGUAGAGCACUGAAUGGGCUAGGGGGCCUACCAGCUUACUGAACCCAAAUAAACUCCGAAUACCGUAUGAUUAGCGUAGCAGUGAGACUGCGAGGGAUAAGCCCCGUGGUCAAAAGGAAAAAAGUCCAGAUCGUCAGCUAAGGGCCCUAAACGGAAGCUAAGUGUGAAACGAUGUGAAUUCGCGUAAACAGCCAGGAGGUUGGCUUGGAAGCAGCCACCCUUUAAAAAGUGCGUAAUAGCUUACUGGCCGAAUGUGAAUUUGCGCGGAAAAUGUAAGGGGGCUUAAGCUUCCUCCCGAAGCUACGGGAUCCCACAAGAGUGGUGAUCGGUAGGGGAGCGUCGUAUAUGCGGUGAAGCCAAAGCGGAAGCCUUGGUGGAGCGUAUUCGAGUGAGAAUGCAGACAUGAGUAGCGAUAACAGGGGUGAGAAUCCCCUGCGCCGAAAACCUAAGGUUUCUCCGGCCAUGUUCGUCAGACGGAGGUUAGGCGGUCCCUAAGGCCAGGCCAGAAGGCGUAGCCGAUGGACAUCGGGUAGACAUUCCCGACCCAGGUGCAAGUGCGAUGGAGGGACGCCUCUUAAUGUUUCAUCCCACACCGUUGGUUGUUGUGGGCUACCGGGAUAACCCAGCUGUUUAAUAGAUGGCUUUUCAAAGGGUGGGGCCGGGGGGAAGGGAAUUCUUCGGAUGAACCGAACUGAAACAAAGGGGGGCCGAGAAAAGCUUCUAAGCAUAACUUGUAUCUGACCGUACUGUAAACCGACACAGGUAGGUGAGUCGAGGAGACUCAGGCGUUCGAGAGAACUCUCGUUAAGGAACUAGGCAAAUGGGCCCCGUAACUUUGGAAUAAGGGGCGCCCCGCAAGGGGCCGCAGCAAAGCAUCCCAGGCGACUGUUUACCAAAAACACAGGUCUCUGCUAAGGCGAAAGCCGAUGUAUAGGGGCUGACGCCUGCCCAAUGCUCGUAGAUUAAUCGGAGAUGUCAGGGUAACCGAAGCAUUGAAGUGAAGUCCGAGUGAAUGGCGGCCGUAACUCUAACGGUCCUAAGGUAGCGAAAUUCCUUGUCGGCUAAAUACCGACCCGCAUGAAAGGCGUAACGACUUGGGAACUGUCUCAACGAGAAGCUCGGUGAAAAUGUAGCACCCGUGAAGAUGCGGGUUACGCGCAGUAGGACGGAAAGACCCCGUGGAGCUUUACUACACCUUCGGAUUGUUGUUUGGAUGUAGAUGUAGAGCGUAGGUGGGAGCUUCGGCACCAAUGGAACACCACCCUUCUACAUCUGGAUAACUAACUUGGCCCGUAAUCCGGGUCGAAGACACUCCGUGGCGGGUAGUUUGACUGGGGCGGUCGCCUCCCAAAAAGUAACGGAGGCGUACAAAGCUGCACUCAGCCUGGUCGGAAAUCAGGCGUUGAGCGUAUAGGUAUAGAGUGCGGUUGACUGUGAGACAAACAAGUCGAGCAGGGACGAAAGUCGGUCUAAGUGACCCUCUGGUGGUGCGUGGGCACGCCAGGGUUCAACGGAUAAAAGCUACCCCGGGGAUAACAGGCUGAUCUUGCCCGAGCGCUCAUAGCGACGGCAUGGUUUGGCACCUCGAUGUCGGCUCGUCACAUCCUGGGGCUGUACAAGGUCCCAAGGGUUCCGGAGUUCACGGAUUAAAGUGGCACGCGAGCUGGGUUCAGAACGGCGUGAGCCAGUUCGGUCCCUAUCCACUGUGCGCGUAGGAAAUUUGAGAGGAGUCGCUCCUAGUACGAGAGGACCGGAGUGAACCGACCUCUGGUGUACCUGUUGUGCCGCCAGGCGCAGAUGCAGGGUAGCCACGUCGGGUCGUGAUAAGCGCUGAAAGCAUCUAAGCGCCAAGCACACCUCAAGAUGAGAUUUCCCAUAUUAGUAAGGACCCAGGAAGACCACCUGGUGAUAGGUCGCAGGUAGAAGCGUGGUAACACGUGCAGCUAAGCGAUACUAAUUGUCCGAGGGCUUACACU
RNAcentral lists this ribosomal RNA (2931 nucleotides) under bioreactor sludge metagenome. RNAcentral's name for it is "bacterial LSU rRNA". It matches the Rfam family "Bacterial large subunit ribosomal RNA". The record is from RNAcentral.